UAGCCCCCUGCACAUGCUACUAGUGCAUUUGAGACUGGUCUCCAUGGCAAGCCCAGCCUGAGCUUUCCCACGCAGGUGUGGCUGGGGUCUCCAUGGAGACCAGCCCAAGCCAUGAGGGUAGGGGUGUCUGGGUAAUGGAGGCCCCGGCUGACCAGAUCCAGCCCAUGGGCCAUCCCUGUACUGGAGCCUCCAGAUGGAUGCAAGUGUUCCCAACUCGCCCUCAUCAGUCAGAGGAGUGGGAGUCACUUUGGUCCCUGCUCUCUCGAGAAGCUGAAGAAGCAGGGUAGGGGUGGGGUGGCUGGAGGCGAGAGCAGCACAGGGAAAAUAAGAGUGCAGGGUAUUCUCCCCCUUCCUCCCAUGCUCUGUGCUCGUGUGUCUGGACUCUACCUACCACAGCUUGGCUCUUCCACGUUCUGCUGUGAACCAGGUCCUGCGCAGAGAGAGGCAGAGCACUUGGCUUGAAGAGCCAGCUGUCAGCCAUUGCCGAGGCUGGGAAAAUGUCUGCUGAGAAAUGUGAAUGUGAGAGGUCAGGAAGUGUGCCUGGGAUCUCACCAGGGCUCCCCAGAGCAUCUUCCAGACACCCUGUGGUAAGUGUAGCCCCACUUACCUUGACACUGGCCCUGCCUUUUCUCCCCUUUUGGGGAGACCAGCCACAAUACACCUCCUCCCCCAAGGUGCCUGCUGGAGUCUCUCUUCAGCUUAGGGAGGCUCCAGUACCUGUUAGAGGUUAGCACACUAUAUGAAGAUGCUGGGUUCAGAAGAGAAACAACCUUAAGCACCUGUGGUAUGCAGAAGACAGUCAUCUGGGAAGAGGGAUCAGCCCUUCUCCCCUGUCAAAACUGUGUUUCCUGAGAGAUUGGCCUCAGGACUGAGAACUGUCCACCUCAUCCUGCCCUUCAGGGCUGGGAAGGAGCAGGGGUCUGUUGCCUUCCAGAUGUUGUUCAUGACUCUGGCCUUGGGAGGGGAUUAGCCCAGGCCUGGAGCAAAAUAUGGCCCCAGUCCCAAGGCAAGGUCAGGUUGCCACCACUCUUGACUCGCUGUGACGAGUGAGACAGAAAUUCCAGUCUGAGCAUGAAGUUUCAGUUUUGAGGAGGGGACGAGGACAAGCCUCAGCAGAAGAGCAGGGGCAGGUGCCCAGUGACUGUGUCCUUUGCCUCCAACAGCAGUUUAAGACUUGGUUUGAGUCAAGCAACCCCAUGGAGAGAGCCAGGGUCAUGAGGAGCAGCACCACCCUUCCAUCAAGCAGGGAGUGCUUGUAACAGGCCUUGCCCUAGACUCUGGCUCCCACCUCCUAUGUGGGCUGAGGGAUUUAGUGCUCUAGCUUUCGCUUCUCUGCCCCAGGCCUUCCCAUGAGGAUGCCAGUGCCAGGACAGAGCAGCCUGGGACUGAACAUAUUAGAUGGGAAUGUACUCCCUUCUCUUCUUCCACAAGGACUUCUCAGAUGUAUCCCAGCUGCGUGAUGUUGUGGUCCAAGUGGGGCUACUUGUGAAUGACUCAGCCAAGGACAUCUGUGGGAAGGCUGAGGAUGGGAUCCACAAACUCUACAAAAUCCUUCUGCACCAGAGGGGUGAGGAAGACACCUAUGGACAGGAGAUCCCUCACCCGGACACUGACCCGAGCUGGAGGACAUGAUGUUUUGUCCUGUCCAACUCAAUCCAGACUGGAUGAGCAUAAAAGUGAUUUCAAAGAGAAACAUGAAUUUAAAAGGUGUUAAGAAGUGUCAGUAGCUGUUCAACUCACCCACAGACUCAUCUGCUGCAAGGAUCCCCUUCCCUGAAGCCACAAUCUUAUGAGCAGUUUCGAAAAGGGCCUUCUUCUGCUCUGCGGACAGUGCUGGAAACUGGUGA
Alligator mississippiensis (American alligator) is the source of this 1847-nucleotide long non-coding RNA. RefSeq lists it as uncharacterized. The transcript is spliced from 2 exons. The record is from RefSeq and is a predicted model, not a curated record. NCBI's taxonomy places the organism in Eukaryota, Metazoa, Chordata, Crocodylia, Alligatoridae.